RNAcentral lists this transfer RNA (59 nucleotides) under Plecotus macrobullaris. RNAcentral describes it as "tRNA-Ser". The record is from RNAcentral. Lineage: Eukaryota; Metazoa; Chordata; Mammalia; Chiroptera; Vespertilionidae.
GAAAAAGUGCAAGAACUGCUAACUCAUGCAUCCGCGCCUAAGUAGUGCGGCUUUUUCAA